This 451-nucleotide ribosomal RNA is filed under the name uncultured bacterium. Its description in RNAcentral is "partial 16S ribosomal RNA". It matches the Rfam family "Bacterial small subunit ribosomal RNA", at positions 354 to 796 of the family's 1533-position model. The record is from RNAcentral.
UUGGGGAAUAUUGGACAAUGGGGGGAACCCUGAUCCAGCCAUGCCGCGUGUGUGAAGAAGGCCUUUUGGUUGUAAAGCACUUUAAGCGAGGAGGAGGCUACCGAGAUUAAUACUCUUGGAUAGUGGACGUUACUCGCAGAAUAAGCACCGGCUAACUCUGUGCCAGCAGCCGCGGUAAUACAGAGGGUGCAAGCGUUAAUCGGAUUUACUGGGCGUAAAGCGCGCGUAGGUGGCCAAUUAAGUCAAAUGUGAAAUCCCCGAGCUUAACUUGGGAAUUGCAUUCGAUACUGGUUGGCUAGAGUAUGGGAGAGGAUGGUAGAAUUCCAGGUGUAGCGGUGAAAUGCGUAGAGAUCUGGAGGAAUACCGAUGGCGAAGGCAGCCAUCUGGCCUAAUACUGACACUGAGGUGCGAAAGCAUGGGGAGCAAACAGGAUUAGAUACCCUUGUAGUCC